GACGAGGGCGCGAGCGUUGUCCGGAUUUAUUGGGCGUAAAGAGCUCGUAGGCGGCUUGUCGCGUCGACUGUGAAAACCCGCGGCUCAACCGCGGGCCUGCAGCCGAUACGGGGCAGGCUAGAGUUCGGUAGGGGGAGACUGGAAUUCCUGGUGUAGCGGUGAAAUGCGCAGAUAUCAGGGAGGAACACCGGUGGCGAAGGCGGGGUCUCUGGGCAGUAACUGACGUGGAGGAGCGAAAGCGUGGGUAGCAAACAGG
RNAcentral lists this ribosomal RNA (256 nucleotides) under uncultured bacterium. Its description in RNAcentral is "partial 16S ribosomal RNA". It matches the Rfam family "Bacterial small subunit ribosomal RNA", at positions 524 to 776 of the family's 1533-position model. The record is from RNAcentral.